Molecule: ribosomal RNA, 519 nt
Filed under: uncultured bacterium
Lineage: Bacteria
Description: bacterial SSU rRNA
Rfam family: Bacterial small subunit ribosomal RNA
Source: RNAcentral
AGAAUUUAGCAGAGAUGCUUUAGUGCCUUCGGGAACUCUGAGACAGGUGCUGCAUGGCUGUCGUCAGCUCGUGUUGUGAAAUGUUGGGUUAAGUCCCGCAACGAGCGCAACCCUUAUCCUUUGUUGCCAGCACGUAAUGGUGGGAAACUCAAAGGAGACUGCCGGUGAUAAACCGGAGGAAGGUGGGGAUGACGUCAAGUCAUCAUGGCCCUUACGAGUAGGGCUACACACGUGCUACAAUGGCGCAUACAAAGAGAAGCGACCUCGCGAGAGCAAGCGGACCUCAUAAAGUGCGUCGUAGUCCGGAUUGGAGUCUGCAACUCGACUCCAUGAAGUCGGAAUCGCUAGUAAUCGUAAAUCAGAAUGUUACGGUGAAUACGUUCCCGGGCCUUGUACACACCGCCCGUCACACCAUGGGAGUGGGUUGCAAAAGAAGUAGAUAGCUUAACCUUCGGGAGGGCGUUUACCACUUUGUGAUUCAUGACUGGGGUGAAGUCGUAACAAGGUAGGCGUAGUGCU